Molecule: ribosomal RNA, 429 nt
Filed under: uncultured bacterium
Lineage: Bacteria
Description: bacterial SSU rRNA
Rfam family: Bacterial small subunit ribosomal RNA
Source: RNAcentral
UGGGGAAUAUUGGACAAUGGGGGAAACCCUGAUCCAGCGACGCCGCGUGUGUGAAGAAGGCCUGCGGGUUGUAAAGCACUUUCGGUGGGAACGAAAUAUGCCGGGCCAAUACCCCGGCAGGCUGACGUUACCCAAUGAAGAAGCACCGGCUAACUCUGUGCCAGCAGCCGCGGUAAUACAGAGGGUGCGAGCGUUAAUCGGAAUUACUGGGCGUAAAGCGCACGUAGGCGGCUUCGUAAGUCGGAUGUGAAAUCCCCGGGCUCAACCUGGGAACUGCAUUCGAGACUGCGAUGCUCGAGUAUGGGAGAGGACAGCGGAAUUCCGGGUGUAGCGGUGAAAUGCGUAGAUAUCCGGAGGAACAUCAGUGGCGAAGGCGGCUGUCUGGCCCAAUACUGACGCUCAGGUGCGAAAGCGUGGGGAGCAAACAGG